Molecule: ribosomal RNA, 495 nt
Filed under: uncultured bacterium
Lineage: Bacteria
Description: partial 16S ribosomal RNA
Rfam family: Bacterial small subunit ribosomal RNA
Source: RNAcentral
UGACCGCUGGCGGCGUGCCUACUACAUGCAAGUCGAGCGACCAGACGCGGAGCUUGCUCCUCUGACGUUAGCGGCGGACGGGUGAGUAACACGUGGAUAACCUACCUAUAAGACUGGGAUAACUUCGGGAAACCGGAGCUAAUACCGGAUAAUAUAUUGAACCGCAUGGUUCCAUAGUGAAAGACGGUUUUGCUGUCACUUAUAGAUGGAUCCGCGCCGCAUUAGCUAGUUGGUAAGGUAACGGCUUACCAAGGCAACGAUGCGUAGCCGACCUGAGAGGGUGAUCGGCCACACUGGAACUGAGACACGGUCCAGACUCCUACGGGAGGCAGCAGUAGGGAAUCUUCCGCAAUGGGCGAAAGCCUGACGGAGCAACGCCGCGUGAGUGAUGAAGGUCUUCGGAUCGUAAAACUCUGUUAUUAGGGAAGAACAAAUGUGUAAGUAACUAUGCACGUCUUGACGGUACCUAAUCAGAAAGCCACGGCUAACUACGUG